This 468-nucleotide ribosomal RNA is filed under the name uncultured bacterium. RNAcentral describes it as "partial 16S ribosomal RNA". It matches the Rfam family "Bacterial small subunit ribosomal RNA", at positions 28 to 507 of the family's 1533-position model. The record is from RNAcentral.
GAUGAACGCUGACAGAAUGCUUAACACAUGCAAGUCUACUUGAAUUUGGGUUUUUUAACUUAGAUUUGGGUGGCGGACGGGUGAGUAACGCGUAAAGAACUUGCCUCACAGUUAGGGACAACAUUUGGAAACGAAUGCUAAUACCUGAUAUUAUGAAUAUAUGGCAUCAUAUAAUUAUGAAAGCUAUAAGCGCUGUGAGAGAGCUUUGCGUCCCAUUAGCUAGUUGGAGAGGUAACGGCUCACCAAGGCGAUGAUGGGUAGCCGGCCUGAGAUGGUGAACGGCCACAAGGGGACUGAGACACGGCCCUUACUCCUACGGGAGGCAGCAGUGGGGAAUAUUGGACAAUGGACCAAGAGUCUGAUCCAGCAAUUCUGUGUGCACGAUGACGUUUUUCGGAAUGUAAAGUGCUUUCAGUUGGGAAGAAAAAAAUGACGGUACCAACAGAAGAAGUGACGGCUAAAUACGUG